RNAcentral lists this long non-coding RNA (10887 nucleotides) under Fragaria vesca (wild strawberry). RNAcentral describes it as "long non-coding RNA (FVES_LNC000439)". The record is from RNAcentral. Lineage: Eukaryota; Viridiplantae; Streptophyta; Magnoliopsida; Rosales; Rosaceae.
GACGCAUAAUUAGUUGCUUAGCUGAAAAGUACGUUGGUGAAGGUUCCUUUGAGCGUGCAAUACGCCAAUCAUUCCUUGGUAAUUUUUCUACCACACCGUUUCAGUCUGGCAGUUGGAUCCUUCAUAAUAAUUUUUAUCGUAAUUCUACCUUGUUAACAUCUUUGUUAUUAGGUACACAGUAGAUUAUAUUACAUAGUUUUGAAGCAUCAGUGUAUUUGUGAAAGUCAUUCAGUAGCUAGUUUCAAACUGGUACUCAAUCCACCUUUUGAUCACUGUGUAUUUGUGAGGGCCUUUGAUAUGUAAGAGCAUCUCCAAUGGAUAUGUUAUUUCUGCCACAGACCAACAACUAUUAAAUGACAUCCCACACUCUUCUCCAAUGGAAGUGUUAUACACACGUGGCUACAUGUGUAUUUGACAUUUUGAAGGACCUUGUCAAAUUUGACAGUCCCAACUUGAUUUGGAAAGAAAAGGUGGAGAUGGCUGCAAAAAUUUUGCAUUGUUUAGCUGAUGACUACCCAAAUUUGCAGAAGAAAAUAGGAUGCAUGAAUGGGAAUUUCCAAAUUUUGGAUAUGACACAAAUUCAUCGCUCUGGUAGGAGGAUUAGCCACCACAGGAGGUUUCCUCCUGUUAAUUUCCUAGUGGCGAAUUCAACUCAAACUGCUCUAGCCCUUAGUUCCUUAUAGCUCAAUCACCAACCCUGUCACUAAUUAUAGAUUUGUCUAUAUGUUCUUGUACAGAUUAGAUAAGAGUCAUAAGACUCAUAGGAGUUGGUAUUGCGUCUCUGAGUACAUGCCUUGCGCACUUCAGCUUUGGUUUGUUCUUCAAUUUUCAGUUUUGGUUUAUUCCUCAGCAAUUCAUUCUCUGCAAGAGGAGAGAGAGAGAGAGAAUGAGAUGGGAGACGAGAAUUUGAGCAGAGAACGAGAUGGCCCAAAAUAUCACCAAAAAUAAUCUAAGAGAAAUACUGACCAUCUGUUAAAUAUUGAAUGGCUCAGAUCCAUUCAUGAGGUAAUAUUAGGCAACCUCUCAUUAGGCUCUCAAAGUAGGCAAAGUAGGCACAUUUCAUGAAGCCUACUUCAGAUGAAUCGAAUAAGCUUUUGUGAACCACUUACUGGUUGUUUUAUGAUGGAAUAUUGAUGUAUGAUGUCGUGGCAGCAGAAUUGAACCAACUCCUUCAUGAGAAACUUCAAAGAAGCCAAGAAACCAACUCCACAAAAUGUUAUGGGAAAAAGCUGAUGAGUUUCGCUGCACAGUUUGCCAACUUUAGGCACGAUUUACGCCCUGCCCGGAUGAUUUUUCUGAUCAGUUCUUGAGAAAACAGCUCCAAGAAAGCCAUUUUCUGAAAUUUCCAGCUUUUGCUUCUUAAUUGGCUGACUUCUUGAAUUUGUAUCUUGAUCGUCCCAUGGCUGAUAUGGAUGACUCUUGAUACCACUAUCCUCAAUGACAUCACAUGUUGAUGUAUAAACCAAUACCUCAGUGAUAAGUAUUGAAGAAACAAAGCCACAAAAUCCCAAUGUAGUUCAGUUUCUGGAAAAAGGCUGUUUCAAGGUGUCAACUUCUGGAGCUCAUAACUCAUGCUUCAAAGCAGCGAAUGGCACAAUUCUUUUACAGAGUUGUAGUCCCAUAUCAUGGGUCAAAAAUGGUGUAGGGCGAACAGACAAUAAACCCUUGCAAGGAAGCGCGAAUGAGCCACGAAAAUGCCUCAGAGGAAGCAAAAUCUGAAAAUUUCAGAAUUUUAAAUUUGUAGGGGAUGACUUCCUUAACGAGCUCCAUGUGCUUUCCUUGUGAUUUCUGAGCAGUGGGAUAUCUGAACUUAAUCCUUGGCAUUAAGCCAAGAUGCUUGACUUGAUUUCCAGAAGGUAUGGAACCGCUUGGUAAAGUGCCUUCAAGAACCAAUGUCUCCCGCCACUUGUUGCUGCUAAUAAAGCCUAAUAGGCAAGUCGAAUGUCCCAGAAAACAUGAGAUAAAAAUUAAAACCGCAGGGAAAGUUUCAAAAAUUUGCCACAGGAACUGGCAGAAUGGAAAGUUUCAAAAAUUUGCCACUGGAAUUGGCAAAAUGUGUGUAGUGUAAUCCCCCAGUUUAACCGGAGAUGAUUCGCAGCCCCCCAGUAUGGACUCAGCUAAGAGAAAAGGCUGCUGACCUUCUGUACAUAGUACAUACACAACUGAAAUCAUGCAUGCAUAUAAAUAAGAUUAACAUCGCCUCCUUAAUGCCACUGUAAAACCUGAAAAACCACGAAUUGGUUUUUAUGAUGACUGUCACUACUUAGCCAACAUAACUAAACCUCAGAUAGGUUUAUUUGCUUCUGUACGUAGUAUUAGUAUAGCAACGAAUGCUAUGGACUUGUCACAAAUUGAUCUUUUUACUCCAAACAAGAACCCCUUAAGAAAGCUGCAGACUUCCUUCCACCAUCUUGCUUUGAACGUAACAUUAAUUGCACCGUGACUUCUUGAAAGAUCUAUGCUGCUGAUAUGAGGUUUGAAGCCCCCCCUGUCCCUUUGUCAUAAAGCAAAACAAACUUUGUUGCUGCAAGAUGGACAUCUGCUAUGCAUGCAGCUUUGCGAAAUUGGAGAAGAUAACUCCUCAAGGAUCAAAACUUGGCUAGUAGGUUGGUCCAGUUCUCCAGUUUUCUUUCCCUCUCAAACUGUAGCCAUGCAUGCAUUUAUUAUGUUUGCAAGUUUCCACCGGUUUAUCACACAUGAAGUACGCCAAGAAAUAUGGUACUGGUGCCUCCUCCAUAUAUAAUUAUGCAACAUCACUUGGCACUCUAUAUAUCUCAUAUAGCAUGACAGCGACCACCACUCCUCAACGAUUCAGAUAUUUUUAGAAGGGAAUUACUUAACCAUGUACCUCAAGUAGAGGUCUGCCAUGCCUUCACCAUAAUUCCANNNNNNNNNNNNNNNNNNNNUAUAAAGAUUGCUCACUAGCUAUUGCUGCCUCGUCGGUUUAUCAUGUAAAGAUUGCAAAAAAUUCAUUGCUGCCUCUGUCGGUUUAUCUUGUAAAGAUUGCAAAUUUACAAGCCAUUGUUGCCUUAUCGGUUUAUCUUAUAAAGAUUGCUCACUAUCUAUUGCUGCCUCGUCAGUCUAUCAUGUAAAGAUUGCAAAAAAUUUCAUUGUUGCCUCUGUCGGUUUAUCUUGUAAAUAUUGCAAAUUUACAAGCCAUUGUUGCCUCGUCGGUUUAUCCUAUAAAGAUUGCUAAAAAACCAUUGCUGCCUCGUUGGUUUAACUUAUAGGUUGAGUAAUGUUGCUUUGUGGGUUUGUGCUAAUACGAUUGUUGCCCCUGUUCAGUGAUUUUACCCAUAUGGGGUUUGAACAAAUAAGUCAUUGUUGCCACAUAAGGAAAGAUUAGACAUAUGGUAAAUACUUUACUGACAGUAACAUCGGUGAUGCAGAUUACUCUCAUCCUUGGGUAUGAUGAAGAAGAAACCAGUAAGAAUCUGAGCGAGACUUGCGUGAAAUCCCAUGUCAAAAUAUUGGUGCUCCCUCUUUUCUUGAGGUUGAGGAACCAUUUUUGACUAGGGUUUCAUGCUGUCCUGCCUCGAUUUCUGAGGGGUUUCUUCUUUUAUCAGUCCCUUAAUUAUUGCUGCCUUGUCGGUUUAUCUUGUAAAGAUUGCAAAAAGUUCAUUGCUGCCUCUGUCGGUUGAUCUUGUAAAGAUUGCAAAUUUACAAGCCCUUGUUGCCUUGUCGGUUUAUCUUAUAAAGAUUGCUCACUAGCUAUUGCUGCCUUGUCGGUUUAUCAUGUAAAGAUUGCAAAAAUUCAUUGUUGCCUAUAAAGAUUGCUCACUAGCUAUUGUUGCCUUGUCGGUUUAUCAUGUAAAGAUUGCAAAAAAUUCACUGCUGCCUCUGUCGGUUUAUCUUGUAAAGAUUGCAAAUUUACAAGCCAUUGUUGCCUCAUCUGUUUAUCCUAUAAAGAUUGCAAAAAAGCCAUCUCUGCCUCGUUGGUUUAUCUUAUAGGUUGAGAAAUGUUGCUUUGUGGGUUUGUGCUGAUACGGUUGCCUCUGUAGACAUAUGAUAAAUACUUUACAGACAGUAACAUUAGUGAUGCAGAUUACUCUCAUCCCUCUAGACUCAAGCACUUGGAGGAGCAUUGCUCAUGGAUCCUCUCUCCUAAGGUGUGUUUAAUAGAGAACACAUUUACUUGAUUUGUUUGUGAUUUGAUAAAUGGAGAACACAUUUACAUGAUAUGAUGAAUCUGGAUUAGUGUCGUAGUCCGCUUAAUGGAGAACACAUAUGAAUCUGGAUUAGUGUCUUAGUCCGCUUAAUGGAGAACACAUUUACAUGAUAUGAUGAAUUUGAGGUGUCGCUACUUUGCAUAGAGAAUGCAUUUUUGAAAUGAGGGUAUAUGAAAUAUUUGAAAAGACUUGUGGGAAUCGGUCCCUGACUCACUAACUGUUGCCUCUGAUAUGUAAAGCAUUGUUGGGGGAGACUAAUGAAAUUGUUGCCUUGUCGGUUUACUGUUGGGCUUUAGUUCUUUUUCCCACAUUGUAGCCAUUAAGAUAAGGAAGGAGAUGCAUUGUUCUGCAAUAAGUCGGGUGCUGUUGUAAUUGUAUGAUCCAAUGGUACUUUAAUUCAGCCUGCAAUAAUUUCUAUGAAUUUGGAUCAUUCUAUGAUUGUAGCAGGAAAUUGAACUUUUUGUUGGUAAGAUAGUUGGAUGGCAGGUGUGAAGCUUUUUUUAAUUCCUUGUGGACUUGCAUAAUACAUUUUUGUGGGACAUAUGAGCUACUUGGAAGGGCUUCUUUUCUCAGAAGUUUAAUGUGAAUCAUGAUGCUUUUAUAGUUGAAGUCACAAAUAAUCUGAAUAUUUUUGCCUCUUAUAAUGCUAGUUCCUCUUGUUGGUAUUGCAUUCAACAAAGGCUUAUAUGAAGGCUACCCUAUGAUAUAGAGAAUUUGUAUGAGCCUUGUCUUGAUCUCUUCUUAUAGACAAUACAUGUACAUGAUAUUAUGAAUUUGUAUAUGCUUAAUAGAGAAUUCAUGUACAUGAUAUAUUGAAUACGAGGGAAUAGUCGGAAUACAUUGAUAUACAUUUGUACUGUGUCUUUUCUUGGUGUCAAACAGCAUGCAAUCCAGGUCAAAACUCCGAGGGAUUUCUUUUUUCGUAAGUCCCGCAAUUUCUGAUUUUACGAUGUAACAAUUAUGUCAAGGUUGCUGGUUGAUCCCUUAAAAAUAAGGGUAUCUGAAAGUUUUGAAAAAUACUAGUCGGAAAUUGUCCCUUAAAGGUUGCCAAUGAGAUUUAAAGCAUUUUGUAUACAUGUUGCCAUCCUUGGAAUUUCGCCACUCGUGUGAUUUUUUGCCUCUCUUGAGGUUCCAGCAACCAACUCAUUGAUGCAGUAGUGUGGGGGGAGACUAUUGCUAUAUUUACCUUGUCGGUUUUUGCUAAAAAGAUUGUCCUCACUCAAGUGAUUAUGAAUGCAUUCUAAGAAUAAAGUCUACUAUGUGGUGGGACAUAUUAGAUUUGGACACCCCACCACUACUAAUAAUCUCAACUAAUUCUGAGAAUAAAGUCAACUAAUUCUGAUAUUUGUUUUAUUGGGAAGAGUUAAUAGUACUGGUAUUUAUCAGGAGAAUAUUGUGCAAAGUCUUUGUGUGCUUGCAGUGUUUGGCCAUUGUCCUCUUGAAGGGAAAGUUGUGUGGGGAGAGUUUAAUAUGGAGGAUACUAUUUCUAAUGCAGCUUGAAAUUUGGUUGAUAUGAUCUUCGCUGAGGACAGUGUUUUGGUACAAGCAAAAAGGUGCCUUCCCAUGUUGUGGAAGGUAUGAUUUCUGAAAAUGAAGGGAUCAGUCCCUACCUUGUCUACAACUUCAAAUGUUUAGUGGUAUGUUGGAACUGCUAUUUCUGAUCUUGUUCCUCUAUUUGAGUGUGAUGUUUUAAUUGUAUCUGAACCUAGAUUUCUUUCUCUAGAGCUAAAAAUUUUCUUCGAAAACAUGGCUUCUCUGAUGCUGCAAGUGUCUGAUGCUAGAGGUUUGCUGGAGUUUGGUUUAUAAGAUUAAAUUAAGUGUUGAUUUUAUUGAUUGUAAUUGUCAAUCUGUCACUCUUAAAGUUUCAUUUGUUGGAGCUCAAGAAUGUAUUCUAGCUGCUGUUUAUGCUAGUCCUACUACCUCUAUGAGAUGUCAACUUUGGAUUUAUCUUUCUGCCUUGGCUACUCGUUUUCAGCUUCCAUGGUUAAUCAUAGGUGAUGUCAAUGAAUUGUAUUGUAGUGCAGAUAAAAAUGGUGGAUUUAUGGCUGGAAAAAUUGGUGGGAUGAAAAAGUAGGUUGAUCAAUUUGGUAUACUUGAUCUGAGAUUUCAAGGAUCUGCUUUCACUUGGACCGAUAAGCAGAUUUAAAGAACAACGAUAGAGAGGGUUUUGUACUCAUCCUUGUGCAUAAUAAUGCAAACAAUUCUGAAAGUUCAGGAAUUAAUACAAAACCAAAGAUGAUGACUAUGAUGAGUUGGCAUGAGUUGAAUUUCCAAUAUGUUAUUUUCUGUGAAAUGUUAAGUUGCUUCAGUCCAGAUAUCCAAUUGCAGAAUCUAAUUUCAUGUUAUGUGUGCAUGUAAAAGGCGUUCAAUUUACUUCAACUAAACUGGAUCUGCUCGAAGAUAAAACAUGAAGUGUUACAGACACAUGGCUAUUACAACCGGAAAGCAUAGGGUUGCCUGGGUUUGAAGCUUCCAAAUGAGUUGUCAAAGUAUGUGUCAAGCAUUCUUUAAUUGCCUCCUGAUCAAGACUAUCCUCACAUAAAGCCAGUCAUAGGAAACAUUUAAGAAAUGUACGUAUGCAUAUCUCCAUGACCUAGGAUUUUGGCCUUGGAAACACAUGGGAGAUAGAUGAGAGACAUGUUUCCAUUUCUGGUAAUUCUCAUACUUCUCCUGUUUCUUGAUUCGUAAUUUUUUUAUGGAUUUGUGUUUCUGUUGCCUUGAUUCUGUGGUGUUGCCCCGGUUUGCUGUGAAAUGAGGGUACAUGAAAGAUUUGAAAAGAUUAGGGGCUAUUGGUCCCUGUGAUGUGAUCUCGAUUAGUCCCUUGGGUAUGAUGAAGAAGAAACCAGUAAGAAUCUGAGCGAGACAUGCGUGAAAUCUCUUGUCAAAUAUUGGUGCUCCCUCUUUUCUUGAGGUUGAGGAACCAUUUUUGACUAGGGUUUCAUGUUGUCCUGCCCCAAAUUCUGAGGGGUUCUUCUUUCAUCAGUCCCUUAAUUAUUGUUGCCUUGUCGGUUUAUCUUGUAAAGAUUGCAAAAAGUUCAUUGCUGCCUCUGUCGGUUGAUCUUAUAAAGAUUGCAAAUUUACAAGCCCUUGUUGCCUUGUCGGUUUAUCUUAUAAAGAUUGGUCACUGGCUAUUGCUGCCUUGUCGGUUUAUCAUGUAAAGAUUGCAAAAAUUCAUUGUUGCCUAUAAAGAUUGCUCACUAUCUAUUGCUGCCUCGUCGGUUUAUCAUGUAAAGAUUUCAAAAAAUGCACUGCUGCCUCUGUUUAUCUUGUAAAGAUUGCAAAUUUACAAGCCAUUGUUGCCUCGUCUGUUUAUCCUAUAAAGAUUGCAAAAAAGCCAUCGCUGCCUUGUUGGUUUAUCUUAUAGGUUGAGAAAUGUUGCUUUGUGGGUUUGUGCUGAUAUGGUUGUUGCCCCUUUAGACAUAUGAUAAAUACUUUACUGGCAGUAACAUCAGUGAUGCAGAUUACUCAUCCUUCUAGACUCUCAAGCACUUGGAGGAGCAUUGCUCAUGGAUCCUCUCUCCUAAGGUGUGCUUAAUAGAGAACACAUUUACUUGAUAUGAUUUUGUGAUUUGAUAAAUGGAGAACACAUUUACAUGAUAUGAUGAAUCUGGAUUAGUGUCUUAGUCUGUUUAAUGGAGAACACAUUUACAUGAUAUGAUGAACUUGAGGUGUCUCUACUUUGUAUCUUCUUCAUAGAGAAUGCAUUUACAUGAUAUAAUGAAUCUUAGGGAAUACAUUAACAAGGUAUGAUGAAGAAACCAGUUAUUUGAAAGAGACAUGCGUGAAAUCUCGAUUCAAACUAUUGGUGCUCCCUCUUUUCUUGAGGUUGAGGAGCCAUUUUUGACUGGGUUUCAUGCUAUCCUGCCUCGAAUUCUGAGGGGCUUUUUCUUUCAUUUGUCCCUUAAUUAUUGUUACAUGGUAAUAAUUACUUGUGAUAUAACUGCCAUUUGAUCCAUCGAAAUGAGGGUACAUGAAAGAUUUGAAAAGAUUAGUGGCAAUUGGUCCCUGUGAUGUGAUCUCGAUUAGUCCCUUGGAUAUGAUGAAGAAGAAACCAGUAAGAAUCUGAGUGAGACAGGCGUGAAAUCUCAUGUCAAACUAUUGGUGCUCCCUCUUUUCUUGAGGUUGAGGAACCAUUUUUGACUAGGGUUUCAUGCUGUCCUGCCUCAAAUUCUGAGGGGUUUCUUCUUUCAUCAGUCCCUUAAUUAUUGUUACAUGGUAACAAUUACUUCUGAUAUGGCUGCCAUUUGAUCCAUCGAAAUGAGGGUACAUGAAAGAUUUGAAAAGAUUAGUGACAAUUGGUCCCUGUGAUGUGAUCUCGAUUAGUCCCUUGCGUAUGAUGAAGAAGAAACAGUAAGAAUCUGAGCGAGACAUGCGUGAAAUCUCAUGUCAAAGUAUUGGUGCUCCCUCUUUUCUUGAGGUUGAGGAACCAUUUUUUACUAGGGUUUCAUGUUGUCCUGCCCCGAAUUCUGAGUGGUUUCUUCUUUCAUCAGUCCCAUAAUUAAUACAUGGUAACAAUUAUUGAAGUGGUGUCUUGGGUGAGGUUUGAAUUUAUUUCGUAUUAGAUUAUAGUAGGAGAACCAGAUGAGGGUUAUUGGCUUUUUAAAAUCUAUUUUCUAGGGAAGAUCAUACUAGAAAGUUUUUAAUGACUGUUAUCUAGGUCCAAGGAAUAGGUGUCUCUAGUUGUACCAAACUACUGGAUACGUUCAUACAUCAAAACAACAAAACACUCAGUUGUGUUGUAUAACUAAUAUCCACUCAGUUGAGGUGCGAAUUUAGUUCGUAUUAGAUUACAGUAGGAGAACCAGAUGAGGGUUAUUGGCUUUUCAAAAUCUAUUUUCUAGGGAAGAUCGUACUUGAGGGUUAUUAGCUUUUCAAAAUCUAUUUUCUAGGGAAGAUCGUACUUGAAAGUUUUUAACGACAAUUAUCUAGGUCCAAGGAAUAGGUAUCUCCAGUUGUGCCAAACUACUGGAUACAUUCAUAUAAUAAACACUCAGUUAAGGUUUAUUGCUGUGGAGUUAUUCACACUACUUUUCUUUCUGGACUGAGGCUAAAUAACUGUAAGUGGUACUCUAGUGUUUAGAUCUAGGCUUUAGGAAAUUGUGGAGCCUUACAUCACCACUUCACUGGGGGAUGAUUCACUUCAUCACUUGGUUUUCUUAUUCAUAUCUUCUUUUUGUGUUGAAAAGGUGUUAUUUUGCGUUGGGAUUGUUUCUUAUUAUUUUACGUCAGGGAAGCUAUACAUUUAUCUACUGAUUGUCUUUAGAGCCUCUUACACCGUUCCCGUCAUCUUUUCUGAGUUGUAAUUCAUAGUGCCAGAAACAGGGUUUGUUCUCACUUUUAGGAGGAUCUGGGUUUUGAUGAGUUCACUAGUUUGAUUGUGUUUUAUUCAUUGACUAUAUCCAUGGGUUUGAUAUCAUGUGGUAGUGGUGAGAGGUUUUAUUGGGAUUUUCAGGAAAACUUGCAUUACUUUUGUGCUUGAGUUUGCUUAGUUGUAGUUCGAAAUGGGUUGAAGAAGCUGUGGAGUGUGAGUUUUACUAAUUUGGUGGUUAAAAUGGUGUUUCUGGUGAUGUGGGAAUUGAGUUAUACAGUUGAGAACCAUAUGAGGGUUAUUGGCUUUUCAGUAUAUCUAUCUAUCAAUCUUCUAGGGAUCAUACUAGAAAGUUUCUAACGAGUUAUUUAUGUUCAAUGACUGUCCAGUUGUGCCAGCCUACCAAAUACAUCAAAACACAAAAGCCCUUGUUGUGUUGGAUACCUAGUGACCGUUACUCUUUUAGUUACUUGCCCAGUAUUUGGGUGGAGUUAUGUAUACGACUUUUCUUUCUGUUCUGGUGUUAAAUAGCCAUAACAGGUACCCCAGGUUUAGGGUCUAGGCUUCAGAAUAUUACGGAGCCUUGCGUCACCAGGGGUUUGAUUCACCUCUUCACUUGGUUUUCUAAUUUAUAUCUUCUUUCUGCUUAUUGGAAUGCCGGGACUCAAUCUUUGUUACAUGUCUACCUUGUUAACAUCUUUGUUAUUAGGUACACAGUAGAUUAUAUUACAUAGUUUUGAAGCAUCAGUGUAUUUGUGAAAGUCAUUCAGUAGCUAGUUUCAAACUGGUACUCAAUCCACCUUUUGAUCACUGUGUAUUUGUGAGGGCCUUUGAUAUGUAAGAGCAUCUCCAAUGGAUAUGUUAUUUCUGCCACAGACCAACAACUAUUAAAUGACAUCCCACACUCUUCUCCAAUGGAAGUGUUAUACACACGUGGCUACAUGUGUAUUUGACAUUUUGAAGGACCUUGUCAAAUUUGACAGUCCCAACUUGAUUUGGAAAGAAAACGUGGAGAUGGCUGCAAAACUUUUGCAUUGUUUAGCUGAUGACUACCCAAAUUUGCAGAAGAAAAUAGGAUGCAUGAAUGGGAAUUUCCAAAUUUUCAAUAUGACACAAAGUCAUCGCUCUGGUAGGAGGAUUAGCCACCACAGGAGGUUUCCUCCGGUUAAUUUCCCUGGUGGUAGCGAAUUCAAUUCAAACUGCUCUAGCCCUUAGUUCCUUAUAUCUCAAUCACCAACCCUGUCACUAAUUAUAGAUUUGUCUAUAUGUUCUUGUUGUCAGAUUAGAUAAGAGUCAUAAGAGUCAUAGGAGUUGGUAUUGCGUCUCUGAGUACAUGCCUUGCGCACUUCAGCUUUGGUUUGUUCUUCAAUUUUCAGUUUUGGUUUAUUCCUCAGCAAUUCAUUCUCUGCA